UGGGUGAUUAGCUCAGCUGGGAGAGCACCUCCCUUACAAGGAGGGGGUCGGCGGUUCGAUCCCGUCAUCACCCACC
This 76-nucleotide transfer RNA is filed under the name Escherichia coli. Its description in RNAcentral is "tRNA-Val". It matches the Rfam family "tRNA". Rfam says of the family: Transfer RNA (tRNA) molecules are approximately 80 nucleotides in length. Lineage: Bacteria; Pseudomonadati; Pseudomonadota; Gammaproteobacteria; Enterobacterales; Enterobacteriaceae. RNAcentral also lists the same sequence under 1 other name. The record is from RNAcentral.